CGGCGCCGCCCCUCCGGCCGCACCUCCGGCGCGGAAAGUUGCCCGCCGCCUGCCGCGCGGCCCCUCCCCUCCGCCGGCUGUUUGCGUUUAAAAUCCGCCCCCAUCUUUAAAACGGGGCUCCGGGUCUCUGCGGCCGCCGCCGCUCCCGGCCUCCCUUCCCCCACCCCUCGCGUCCACGCGGGCCCCGGCGCCCCCCGGGGCGGACGGACACCCCAAGUCUGCGUCUGAUCGGCCGCGGGCUUCCCGCGCCGGCGGCGAGGAGCCGCUCAGAUUCGUCUGUGCGCGCUGCUGCGUCGGUUUCGGCCCCAGACCCUCGCCGCCCGCCGGCGGGCUUCUGCUCCCCGGGCCGGGGCCCGAGCGCCGGCGCUGGGCCGCCGCGUACGCGGACGGAAGGUGUGUCCAGCCGCCCAACGGCCCGGGACCCUGCGGAGGCCGGCUUCGCGGCGGGGGCAGGGGGCACGAGGCGAAAAGCAACUUUUACCCGCUUGCGGCUCCCUUCCGCGGGCUCUUCCCGGGCCGGCACCGCGAUCCGCGACCCUCAGACGGAGACCCCUCCCCUAGGAAUGUGGCCUCUCUCGGCCGAGUCCGCCCUUCUGCAGUCCGCGCCGCGCGCGUUCUAGGACUUCCCCGGGCAGGUAACGGGGGCGCCGCCUGCGCGCUCGGGCCGGGGCGCAGGGGCGCAAAGGGCUCGGGGGAGGGUCCCGGCGCCGGGCCGGGGAGAGAGGGGGAGCGCGCCCCGCGGUCCACCUGCCGGGUCCCGGGGGUGGGGGGCGCUCUGAGUCGUCCAGGAGAGCGACCCCGCCGCCCACGCCCGCACCCCGGCUGCUGCCCGAGGGCCCCUCGCGGGGCGGCGAGACUGUCCCCCACGCCCUCCGCCCGCAUUCCUUGGCGCGGGGUGGGCCAAGCACCGGCCGGCGCCCUCGCGCCGCGGGCCCCUUGCCCCGGGGAGCGUAGGUCAGUCUGCGGAGCUCUCACUCAUUGCCUCUGGGCUGUGCUUUGCAGACUUUGGGGACUCAGAUUGCUCCUCCCCACCCCCAAGCAGAUUUUUACAAAAAGGUGUCCAAGGGAAAAUCCUCCAGGACAUCGAGACUUGCGAAAUUGUAUUCUUUGUGAAUGCUGUUGAAAGGCUCUGAAAUUAGAAAAACGCACAGGCAUUAAACGCCCCGUUCAGUGCAAGGGGAGGGCCUGGGGCCUUGGGGUCCACCCAACUUUUCCGCUCCUCCAGACCCUAGGAGAAGCCUCUCUCGAGGAACCUGGACGCUUGCUGACAUAAGCCCUGCCCCCGGGGAGUUAAAAACUCCACCAGGCAAUCGUCCCGGCCAAAAGAGAAGAGUGGGGUGUAGACUCAUUAAGAGAUUGGCCCGGGGUCAGCAGUGAGGGAGGGAGCGAGGUAAUGAGUCACUCCAGGCCGGCCUCCCCUGAGUCACCGCUUCUCUGAGCUCCGAACGAGUUGGGAAACUGGAGCCUGGAGCCAGGUUCUUAGACAAUCCAAGCCCCACCGUCCCUGCUGCCGGGAGGGGCAUUGACCCGGGGGGCGCGGAGGCCGCGCUGCUCUCGACCCUCUAGCCCUUGCCCGCUGGGAAAUGGACCGUCUCUCUGGGCUAGAGAAGGCUCCAAAGACUCCUCUCCACAGGGUAGCCAGUCACUCUGUUUCCAGUCCCACUUCUGCACCUGGCUACCCACUCCUGUGCACUGAUUUAUUGCUUGCCCUGUGUUUACCCGGGACGUUUAUAUGUGUGGUCUGAGUUUCCUAUAAUUCAGCACUCAGUAAGCGGAGGACAACAACUGUGGCCGGACCAGCAUCUCUUCAGUAGGUACUUUUCUUGGCCCUGUGUGGGCCUGGACCCAGAGAAGAGUGAUGUUGGCGACUUGCACCCAUUCAUCCAAUCCAAGGUGCAUCAGGCCAGUCCUCCUCCAAGACUGUGACCUGAACAGAAAACCCUACAAAGUCCUCUCCCUGCCUCUACUUUGCCCCUGACAGUCUCUUCUCUAUCUGACCAACCAACCCAGCGAGGUCUGUGCAAGGUUAAUUGUAUCACCUAACUCCUCAGCCGCAGGGAAGGUGUCUCCAACACCUUAGAAUAAAAUCAGAAUUCUAACUAGCCUAUGAGCUCCUGGGACUGCCCCCUCACCAUGACAGCACACUGUCCUUCUGUGUCCCCUGCAAGCCUCCCUCCAGCUGGAUCCUUGUCCCCCAGAUGGGACGAUCAUCAUCUGUUCAGCACUCAGGGCGCAGCUCAGAUGGCACCUCCUGGAAGAGACUUUUCAUGAUUCCCUUAACCAGAGCGGAGUUAGAAAUGUUCUUGUCUGUGUGUCAGUUGAUUGAUUGUUAGAUCUGCCCAGGGCCUUGGAGAAUGAGCUGCAUAGGGGCACAGGCUUUGUCCGGCUUGCUCACUCAGCGCCUCCACCAGGGCCUGGAACAUACAAAAACAUUUCAGCAAACAUUUGUUGAAUGAAUGACCAAACCUUAAUGAGAGUGAGGGGUGGUGGUGAGAGUGCAGAAGCAUGGAAUGAGCAGCUGAAGGUGGGGCGCACCAGAACACUCGGAUUAUACACAGCUGGAGGCAGGCAGGCAGGAUUGGAGUUAAAGAACACAGACUCCUUGACCACCAUUAAUGGGACUCCAUUCUGAUUCUAAUCUGAUGAGCGACAGCUUCAGAUAACUCCCCAGUCACCCCUCUUUGCUUCCUGCAUGUUUUCAGCCCCACAAAGGAUGUGUCUUCUUCCUUGCAGCCCUGCAGCUCAGCCCUUGGGUCUCUCUUACUCAGCUACACCGCCUCCCCUUCCCAUCCAGCCUGUGCUGUGCGAAGUCACUUCAGUCAUGUCUGACUCUGUGGACUAUACCUCCGAAGCUCCUCUGUCCAUGGAAUUCUCCAGGCAAGAAUACCGGAGUAGGUUGCCAUGCCCUCCUCCAGAGAACAGUUCUGACCCAGGGAUCAAACCCAUGUCUUUUAUGUCUCCUGCAUUGGCAGGUGGGUUCUUUACCAUUAGCUCCACCUGGAAAGCCCUUCUUCCAGGCUUGAGGCUUUAAAUACCAUCUUUACCCUGAGAAAGAACUCUAAACCUGUAGUUCAAGUCCAAAGCUUUUUCCUGAGCUUCAGACUCUUAGCCGACAACUUCUUAGCAUCCCUACUUAAAUCUCUGAUAGACUCACACUUACAUGUCCAGAGGGGCAUUCUUGACCUCCCCCGACAAAAGUGCUCCACCAUGGUCUUCCCCAGCUCCACUAUUGUAACUCCGUCCUUUAAUUGUUCAGGCCACAGUCACUCCUGUCUUUCAAACUCCAUCUUUAAUCAGCCUUCUUUAUGGUCCAGCUUUCACAUCCAUACAUGACUACUGAAGAAACCGUGCAUUUGAGUAGACAGACCUUUGUCAGUAAAGUGAUGUCUCAGCUUUUUAAUACACUGUCUAGAUUUGCCAAACCCUUGGAGGAGGGUAUGGCAACCCACUCCAAUAUUCUUGCCAGGAGAAUCCCCAUGGACCGAGGAGUCUGGCAGGCUACAGUCCAUGGGGUUGCAAAGAGUCAGACAUGACUGAAUGACUAAAGCACAGCACAGAUUUGCCAUAGCUUUUCUUCCAAGGAGCAAGGGUCUUUUAAUUUAUUUUCACUUAUAAUAAUCUUUAUUUUAAAGUCUGUUUUGUCUGAUGUGAGUACUGCUACUCCAGCUUUCUUUUGAUUUCCAUUCCAUGGAAUAUUUUUUCCAGCCCCUUACUUUCAGUCUGUAUGUGUGCUGGGAAAGAUUGAAGGCAGGAGGAGAAGGGGAUGAUGACACAGGAUGAGAUAGCUGUAUGGCAUGAGUUUGAGCAAACUCCAGGAGAUAGUGGAGGACAGAGAAGCCUGAUGUGCUGCAGUCUGGGGGUCACAAAGAGCUGGACACAACUUAGUGACUGAACAACAACAAUCUAUAGUAGUCAGAUUCUUAAACAGAAAGCAGAAAGGGUGAUUGCCAAGGGGUAAGGGGAAAGAAGAACGGGGAUUUGUUAACUGGAUAUACAGUAGAGUUUUCAGUUUAGUGAGACGAAAAGACUUCUGGAGAUUACAGAACAAGGUAAAUGUACUUAACAUUACUGAACUGUACAACUGUAAAAUGGUAAAUUUGUUACGUAGUAUUUAGCACAACUUUUAAAAUUUUUGAUGGUUAAGAUGGUAAAUUGUGCGUUUUACCACAAUUUUUAAAAGAAAAACAAAAAUGUAAAAAGACAAACCAUGCAAAAACUACCAAAAGAAAGUAGGCUUUAUGGCAAAAAAAAGCAUUGCUAGAAGUGAGGAGGGACACACUAUGAGAAAGGUAUUCAUCACCAAGAAGACGUAGCAGUUUCGCAUUUGUGUGUGCCUAGCACACGUGGCCUCACCACAUACGAGACAAAGGAAGGAGCAUGGGCAGAGUCACGAAGAGGUGGAGACAAACCUACAAGUAUCGUGCGAGAUGUGCGUAUCAGUAACUGUUCCGAGGAGCAGAUGGAGAUGGUAAGAAGCAGACUUGACCUAAAAGAUGCAUAUUAUAGAUAGAUAGAUACAGAAUCACAGAUCACAGAGUUUUCCCAAGUAGGCAUGGAAUGUUUAUGAAUAUGCUGGGCCAUAUAGCAAGUCUCAACAAAUUUCAGAUGCUCUAAGUCAUAUAGAGUACAUUCUCAGACAGUGAUGCAAUUAAGCCAGAAAACAAGAGAAAAAGUAAGUAGAAAAUAUCUACAUAUUUGAAGUCUAUAUAUACUCCUGAGUAACUGAUGGAUUUGGAAAAUCACAGUGGGAACUAGAAAAUAUGCUGAAAGUUUUGAAACUUACAUCCUGUAAUCAAGAUGUCAUUAGGGCCAUGCUAACUUGGAAAGUUUUUUAAAGCAUAUAUUAAAAAAUAAGCUUGAAAUACAAAUAAAGUACUUUUCAUGAGAAGUUAGAAAAACAGCUAAUUAAGCACAAAGAACGUGCAAAUAAAUGGAAAUAGUCAAAAGUUAAUUGAAAAGUGAUAAAAUGAUAAACCCCUCAUGGGGGACUAAUUAAAGCACAAAUAGCAAAAAAAUGAAAACAUUUGUACAGAUUUUUCAAUCAUUAAAAAGAUAAUGAGAAUAUUAUGAACAGCUUUAUGACAAUAAGUAUGAAAAUUUGAUUGAAAUAAACAAGUUUCUUGAAAAUACAGUUUUUCCAAACUGGCACAAUCAGUCCUACAUCUGACUGGUCUUAAAUCCUCUAUUUUAAAUUAAGUCUAUAAUUUUAAAUCUUCCUACAAAGAGAACUCCAGGCCCAGACAGCUUCAUCAGUGAGUUCAGUGAGUUGUGUUUAAAGAAAAUAUAGCACCAAUCUUCUUUUCAAAGAAUAGAAAAAGGAAAUAGUCCCUAACCAUUCUAUGACGGCCACACUGCCUUGAUACUAAAACCUAGCAAAGACAUUACAAAAAUAUAACAACCUAAUCUCACUCAUAAACUUUAAAACUAAACAAAUGAUCAGCAGAAUGAAUCCAGCAAUGUGUAAAGCUGAUGUACCUCACAACCAAGGUGGAGUUUUUGAUGAAUGUUACUUUGGUUUGACAUUCAAAAAUCAGAAAAAGAUGUUGAAUAAAGUUCAGCACUACUUAUGAUUUUUCUUGAUGUAAGUACUAGCAAAGUAGGAAUAAAGAGGAAUUUUCUGAACUUGAUAAAUGGCGUACACACUCUUCAACAAACACACUAAGUAGUGUACAGACGUGUAAGUAUCUUACCAAGUAGUGAAAUGCUAAAUGCUGUUCCUUUGGCUUGACAGCAAGGAUGCCUACCCUGACCACUUCCAUUCACUAUCACAAUGGAGCACCAAGCCUGUGCAAUAAAUAAUCCAGAAACAAAAAACAACAAAAAAACCCUGAAAGGUGUAGGUCUGAAAUGGAAGAAAAGGUGUUUACAAGAUAACCUGAUACGUGUGUUUAAAAACCCACAAAUGCACAAUGAGAAUUAACAAGUGAGGUUGGCAAGGUUGUUAAUAUUCAAAUGUAUUUCUACAUGCUAGUAUAUCCUGUAUAAAGCAAUAGUCAGAAUACAAAAAGUUUAAAAAGAGAUUUACACACGUACAGCAAUGUCUAUAGCAGCGCUGUUUCAAUGACCAAGGCAUGGAAGGUGACUCAGCCGCGAAACACAGUGACAUGCUGCCCUUUGCAGCAACAUGGGUGGGCCUCGAGGGGACCACGCCAUUCGAGGGGAGCAGGUAAAGGAGGUUAGUGUAUGACAGGACUUACAGGUGGCGUCUCAUGCCAUUCGAGGGACGUCAGGUAAAGGAGGUUAGUGUAUGACGCGACUUACAGGUGGCAUCUCAUGCCAUGCGAGGGACGUCAGGUAAAGGAGGUUAGUGUAUGACACGACUUACAGGUGGCGUCUAAGAAAUAACACAAACGAACUUACUUACAAACAGAAAUAGCCUCUCAGUCAUAGAAAACAAACUUACGGUUACCAAAGGGGAAAGUGGGGAGGGAUAAAUUAGUGGUAUGGGAUUAACAGAUACACAUCUCUAUAUGUAAAACAGAUAAACAGGUAUUUACUGUAUAGUACAGGGAACUGUAUUUAAUAUCUUGUAAUAACCUGUAGUGGAAAAGAGUCUGAAAAAGUGUGUGUGUGUGCAUAUAUAUACACACACAUAUAUAUAUGCAUGCAUCACUUUGCUGUACACCUAAAACACGAUCAUUAUAAAUCAUCUAUAGUUCGAUUUUUUUAAUUUAAAGGUGAUCACACAAAAAAAAGAUAGCCUACACAGUGGCAAAAUAUUGGCUACAUAAGAAUAUAUGAGUUGAAACACAUACCAGAAUUCCAUGCAAAACUAAGUAUUCUGGGAGGGAAUGAAGGAAAGCCUGAAUAAAUGAGAGGGCGCCAUGCGUGGCAGACGGGAACCGUCUUCUAGUUGCCCUUCAGGAAGGAACUUUCCGUUCAGCUGUGCAGGUGUGGCCUGCCCGAAGCCUCCAGCUGCAGAGAGCUCCCUUCCCUGAGGUGACAUAGGUCCCAGAGCUGCAUACAACCAGUGAGAAGCGAGGCAGGGACAUACUUAGGGCCAUUUUUACCAAAUACAGGACACCCCAAAAUCCUGAGCAACUCCCUGCUGCCUUGACUGGAGUUCUGUGGGGCCGGCAUUACUGUCUGGCCCCUUCCUAAGCCUUAUCUUGCUGCCUUCGCUUCCUCCCACAAGUGUUGAUCCCUCAUAAACAUUGUGCACCUCAACUCAGCCUCUGAAGACUAACCUGUGAUAGCUGACUCAGGAGAGGUCUCAGAGAGCAAGUGAUGAGAUGGGUUCAGAGGAGGCCCCCCACCCUGGUGGAGGCAGGUGGGUCUCAGGCAGUGCUCUGCACAAGGUGCUGGUUCAGUUGUUCACACUCUGUUGGUACAUGAGGGGGUGUGCUGGUCAAAGUGAAGGCACGGCAGAUGUAGUGGAGGAAGUAGUUGCUGUAGAAAUGAUUGGUUUGGAUGGCCAUUGGUGUGCAUUGUCAGUGUUCUACGGAAAGACGCCAAAAAGCUGAAAGUAAUGAGCAACUGAAAGCCAGGUGUGAAAGCUAGAGGCCUUCCUGGUUGCAUGAAGCUCUCAUCUACAGCGAGAAGGCAGAGAAAGCUGAGGACCUAGACCAUGAGCAUUAAGCACCCAGCAAAGGCACGUCUCUCAUGCCAAGGUCAGGCCCUGGAUGGGAUGGAGACAGAUGGGAGAUGAUGAUGAUUUUGACUCCCCAGCUUCCUGUGGACCUUCCGAGCCUACAGAAGUGGCCCAUCCCCAAACCCGCUGGAAGAGCCAACACUCCCAACCUUCUGGAACACAACACAGAAGCCUGCCCCUGAGAAGAGCAUGGGUUCCCUCCUGGGUCACUAGGCCUAUCACUGGCUGAACUCGCAGUACAUAGGGUUAGGGACGCUAAGGGAUUACAUCCCACAGGACCUGCAGGCCCUCACCAGCACCCAGGAACUGAACUCUAAGCUCGAUUGAUCAAGGGGCCAGAAUAUAAAACUGGGUGAAGAAAAGUCUGUUGGCUUGGGAGGGCUCUCUUGACAUGCAGGAUCUAACAUCUUAAGGAUCCCGGGUCAUACUCACUAUUAGAAAAGUGGAAGUUCAUGGAUCACCAGGAUAGGAGGUGGGGAAGCAAAAGGCUUUAGGAUGAACUGUGCAGACCUGGAAAUAACCAGAUACAUCCCACCUCUUUUGGGGAGAGACACGCUACCCAGCCGUGGGGAGUGACCGCUUCGAGCUGGCAGCACCUUGGGGCCUGGCUGGGCUGCCGGGUGCUGCUUUGCCUGGGGUCAUACUCUGCCCGCCCUGCCCAGGCAACCUGCACUGUAACUCAACAUGGACAUGCAGCCCAACAGAGGACACUCUGACAACAGUAAAUGCCCCCAGAGCAACGCACUAGGGCAGCCAGUGCUCUGUCUGUUCUGGGUCAGAUUGCUUCCUCUGCCCAAUUCUGGGUCUUGACUUUUCCCUCGUAAACUUUUGCCAUCCAAAUUCCACUAAGCGUCUGUUUCGGCACCAUGACCUGCGUACCAUACUCCUGGUUUUUAAAGACUCGGAAUGUUCGAGAGGUCAGUUCACUGCUAAAUGCUCUAUAGAUUAUAUGCAACCAUAUCAAAAUCUCCAAAUAUUGAUCUUUAUGCAAUAUUGUUUGCACUAUAACACAUUUAUUUCCAAAGAGUAUUUCCCAUAGUAAGUUUUUGAAAGUAGGAAGUUAACAAAUGUUCUGUGGGGCUGUAUUUAAGGAUUGACAGAUUUGGAAGAGAAAAGCUUUAUAUACUAUGCGAUGUGUGUGUGUGUGUGUGUGUGUGUGUGUGUGUAUGUGUGUGUAUAUAUAUAUAUAUAUAUAUUCAGGACAAAUGCAAACAUUAUUUAAAAAAGUAAAAUAGACGAAAAGAUACAAACACCAUAGAAUGGUAAAGCAAUUCUGAAUUUAUUAGGAAAUGCUGAGGGUGAGAAAUUAUCAAGACACUCUUGAAGAAACAGGAGGUAGGUGGGCGUGCUCUACCAGAUAUGAAAACAGUGUAAAGCUACGGAAAUGAAGACAAUGUGGUUUGGAUACAAAUACAUAAAAAGAAUAGAGAACACAGACACAGUUCCUUUUUGAGUGCUUGAUUUCCUUGAAAGGUGGAACUCUAGACCUGUGGAGGGCGUCUUUGUCAUUAUAUGGUGCUAGGACAGUUGGAUAUCCUUACAGAAAAUGGAACCUGACCACCCCACACCAUAAACAAAAAUUAGCAUCAGGUGGUUUUAGAUCUAACUCUGAAAGACAAAACACUAAAAGCUUCUAGAACAGUGCAGAUGAAGAGAAAAUGGAAACAUUCUAUGACCUGUACUGUCCAAUACAGGUAACUAAAGGAGUGAAUUUUAUGUCAUUUUAAUUAAUUUUCACUUAAAUAGCCCCAAGUGGCUGCCAACAGUUCAGAAUUAGAAGAUAAUAUUGAAGACUGUCUUCAUGACCUGAGGAUAUGAAAGACUUCUUCAAUGGGAUACAAAAACCACUAACCAAAAAGAAAAAAACAAAAACAAAAAAACUGCAUUAAAGUUAAGAAUUUCUAUGCAUUUAAAGAUACCAUGAUAUACUUCAGUAGAGGCACAAAGGCACGUUACAGUAGGAAGAGAGUUUGGCAGGCAAAGUGCUCAUCUCUGGAGUAUUCAAACAACUCUCAGGUCAAAAAGGAAAAAACCCUGAAGAAAAGUAGGUAAAAGAUUUCAACAAGCAGUACAUCAAAGAGAAUAUCCAAAUGACCAAUUAACAUGUUUAAAAGUGUUCAACCUCAUCAAUAAUCAGGGAUAGACAAACUGAAAUCAUAAUGAAUUAUUACAGCACACCGAGCAGAAUUGCUAAAAUCCAAUAAAAAAUUGACAAGGCUAGUGAUAAGACUGGAACAAGAGAAUCUCUCAAAUGGAGUUAGGGAGAGUUUAAAUUGGUAUGACCACUUUGAAAAUCUGUUUGGCAGCAUCUGCUAAAUGGACCUGCACAUAAUCCACCAUUUCACAUUAGGAAUAUGCCUAACAGAAACAUGUGAACUUGUACACCAAAAGACAUGUAUGAGAGUGCUCAUAGUAGCAUUAUUUGUAACAACCAGGAGUUGGGUAGAACCUGUUAGCCACAGCAGGAAAAUAAUCAAAUCAUCAUAUUGUACAACUUAAAUAUAUACAGUUUUAUCUGUCAAUUAUAACUAUAUAAGCUGGGGAAAAGCUACAUAAAAGAGUAUCCAUACAAAAAAAAAUAAAUAAACUACUGUAAGUUACACAAUGGCAUGCUAUGCAGCCAUGAAAAAGAAUAAACAACUGUUACGUUCAACAGCAUGAACAAAUCUUACAAAGGAUGCUAAGCCUAACACACUUUAUUACAAAAGAGUCUGUGCCUUGUAAAUCUAUUUAUACAAAGUUCAAAAUGCAAGUAAAAUUAAGCUAUAGUGUUGAAACAUACACAUUUAGCAAGGCGACGAUUGCGAUAAAAUUCAGGGUUGAGAUCACCUUCACAGGGAGGUAAAAAGCACAUGUGAGCGUUCUGAGUGGCCUGAGGUGACGUUUAUGACAUGGAUCUAUAAUAUGCACUGUUGUCUUAGUUUUUUUUAAGCCUCAGUGAUGGUGGCGCUAGUGGUAAAGAACCUGCCUGCCAAUGGAGGGGACAUAAAAGAUGCAGGUUCGAUCCCUGGGUCAGGAAGAUUCCCUUGGCGGAGGAAAUAACAGCCCACUCCAGUAUUCUUACGUGUAGAAUCCCAUGGACAGAGGAGCCUGGCGGGCUACAGUCCAUAGGGUUGCAAAGAGUCAGGCACGACUGAGGCAACUUAGCGCACGCACACGAUACUCUGUGAAGGGUCCUAACAUUUACCUGCUGGUCCCUGGCCAGACUGGUAUCAAGGACAAUAAUCUGGGGGACAAGAGACAGUGGGGACUGGGCACAAGGUGCCAGUCUGCCGUGGGGCAGCAGAAGCAGCCGUGUGACACAAGCAGCUCUGGGCUUUUCCUUCCAGCCCCAGUGAAGGCAGAUGGAAGGCGCGAUCCUUUACUCUAGUUUCAUGGUUCUGUUAGGGGAAGCACAAUGAUUGAAACCGCCCACCCUGGCCAGGCACCAUAGUAACCAUUUGCAUGCGUUGUUUUACGGCAGGAGGUCCUGGUAAGGAACACAGACCUAAUACGCCACCACCAACCAGAAGAGUUAGGGAAAGGUCAAAAGGAGAUACCACGUGUCCGACCACCUCCCAGAAUCCUUCUCUUUGGCAUCCAUCUUGGCUGAACAAGGCGUGCACCACCAGGAAGGACUCUUGAGUCAGAAUGAUUGGCAGAAGACAACCCGGAAACUAAUCCCAUCACCAUAAAACCCUAGACUGCAAGCCAUGUGACAGAGCUGUUCUCCUGGGUUCCCUUACCCUGCUGCUCUCCCCCGGGGGCCCUUUCCAAUAGAAUCUCUUGCUCUGUCAGCACAUGUGUCUCCUCGGACAGUUCAUUUCCGAGUGUUAGACAAGAGCCCGGUUUCGGGCCCUGGAAGGGGUUCCCCUUCCUGCAACAGUCCUGCCACUCUUCCCAGCUGUCUGUGGGUGCGGCCCCUCAGCUCGUGAAGCAGCUGUGUGGGCAGGGGCUGGGGCAGGAAGGAGGGGCAGUGACUGGGAGGUGUGGCCUUUUCUUUUGGAGUGCCAGAAAUGUUUGAAACCAGACUUGGGGGCUGCACAUCAUGAAGGCGUACUAAAUUUGAUUAAUUUUAUGUGAGUUUCAUCCCAAUUUAAAAACAAAUAAAACUCAUUGGAUAGAUUUAACAAACAAAAGACUAUAUUUUUCUCCUUCCUAACAAAGGAAAUAUAUGCCUUCUGAAAGGAAAUAGAUUUUUAAAGAAUUUCUGGCAUCCUCAAACUUGACUACUUGCUUUUCUCAGUUGUUUUUUUUUAGGUUGUACAAAGCAAGUUUUUUAAGGUGUACCACAUGAUGACUUAACGUGCAUACACAUUGUGAAAUGAUUACAAUAAAUACGUUCAUCUCCUAACCUUUUGAGGGAGGAGUGAGAACACUAAAGAUCCACUCUCUUAGCUGAUUUUGCGUGCUCAGUGCAGUGUUGUUGACUGGAGUUAACAUGCUGUAGUUAGAUCUUUACAACUUCAUCUUCUUAUAACUGAAAGUUUGUGCCCUUUGACCAACCUCUCCCCAUUUCCCCCACUCCCCAGCCCCCGACAACCACCACUCCACUCUCUGGUUCUAGGAGUUUGACUUCUUUAGAUUCCACAUGUAAGUGAGAUCACAGCGUGGUUGUCUUUCUGUGUCCAGCUAGUUUCUCUUCGCAUCCUGUCCUCUGCGUGCAUCCGUGUUGUCUUGCCUUUCAGCCCUUUCUCACAUCUGCCCUUCCCGUCUCCGCUGGCCAGGUAUGCAUAUGAGCCGUGCACAGGCACCUCCACGGGUCUGCCUUUGCCUCUGGCUUUCUGACCUCCUGCAGCCUCUCCCGGAGGGCAGUCGCUGCUUUGCUGAGUCUGCAUCUCUGCUGGCGGUCCUCACAAUGAUCUUGACAGGAAGCUAGGCUUCCUGGGUCCUGAGUCAGCAGAGUGGAAAGGAAAUGAAGGCCACAGAGCAGUCAGAGAGGAAGCUGCCACCCUACAGGCAGAACUGACACUUCUCUGUAGGUCUGGAAGAGAGUCCAGUCCUCUGAUUCCAGAACACGGCUCCUGAAACACUGGCUCCUGGGUCAGCCAACCCUGAGCAAGUCUUCUGCCUCUCUCUGCAGUCAUUUGCCCAGAUAUAAAGUGGGAAUGGCUGUGUAAGGAUCUCAGGCAUCAACAGCCAUGGCCUGGAUAGAAAAAGUCUGCACAAGGGCUAGCGCUAACUCCUUUCAAAAAUUUCUAAGUGGAGAGUUAAAAAAUACCCAUCUAUUUUCUUCCUGCUUUUCCUCUCCAUGAUCCGGUUAAGAACUGAUAUCAAAAGAGCAGACAAAACAAACCUGAAACACCCUAGUAACCUAUAUUUUGGCAUUUUGCAGUUGAACCAAGAUUUCUUUCACGGGAAAGUGGCACUUAAAUAGGAUAAUGUGUUUAAGGACAUUUGCUUCCUAGACCUGAUUGUAACUGGCAAUUGUAUUUAGGGCUCUCAAGUCUAACUCCCCUAUUUUAGUCAUUGAAGGUUCAAAGUGGAGUUUUUUCAUAUGCACAGCAGGAAGUACCCAGUUUAGUGAUGAAUUCUCAUGUGGCAGCCUGGUCUUUAGAAGCGUUAGGGUGUACUGGAAAAGCUUGAACUCAAAGGUGGGUGACCCAGGCUUCAGUUUGGAUGAGUCCCUGGGCUGAUUACUUCGCUUUCCUGGGCUUUCCUGCGUGUUAGAUAGGCACAUUAGAUUAAAUGGUGUUUAAAGUUCCUUCAGUUCAAUAAUUAAGGAUUCCUAAUGUCACCCCCGGAAAAGGCAAUGGAAACCCACUCCAGUACUCUUGCCUGGAGAAUCCCAUGGAUGGAGGAGCAUGGUAGGCUGCAGUCCAUGGAGUCGCUAAGAGUUGGACAUGACUGAGCGACUUCACUUUCAUGCAUUGGAGAAGGAAAUGGCAACCCACUCUAGUAUUCUUGCCUGGAGAAUCCCAGGGACAGAGGAGCCUGUUGGGUACCGUCUAUGGGGUCACAUAGAGUCGGACACAACUGACGUGACUUAACAGCAGCAGCAAUGUCACCCCCCCAAAAUAAAAAGGAGUCAUGAGGGUUUGGGCUAAGAACCAGCCAGGGGGAAAAAUAGGCCCUUAAGGUCCUUUUUUUUUAAGUGUGUUUUUUAAUUACAAGUCGAAUUUCACUUUCAGGGAAAAAACAACCCUUAGGCAUUUUAUGUUCUGUUUGGUUUAACCUUAAUCUUUCUCCCCAGCAGAUAGCUCUUCAGUUGAAGGGCUUGGGGGAGGCUUCUCACACUUGCCACCUACAGGCCAGUUUACAUACCAGAAGGGACUCCCUGGAUUUUACCGAAGGUCGCUGCCAAGAGAGAAGGGGUCACUUUAAAGGGACUCACAUGGAUCCCUGGCGCCACUUCUGACACUGCGGGGCUGGUCCAGCGUGAGGACGGUGGCACGCGCAGGGCUGAAAUGGGUUCCACGCUCAUGACCAAGGGCUUGGCCUCCUGCCCUGUCAUAUGUUACGAACCAAGCAUGUGUUGCUCUCAGUGUGUUUGAAUUGGACAGGCAGUCUGCAGUGCUUGGGUCUAGACUCAGAGACCCCGGGACCCUCCCGCUGCCUUGUCACCUCUUUGAUUGGUAUCUUGCCCACCUCCCACCUCACCCCGAGGCUGUGUUUCUAGAGAACAGAUGAGGCCACAUGGGUGUGACGUCCUGGGAGCAGGCGAGGCCCACGGCGGCUUAAACUCUUCAAAGGGCUUCGAGUUCGGGUCUAAUUGGUGUUCUGCAAAACCUGCAAACGCGCACCAGUUUUAGAUUUGGGAAUUAUCAGCACAGGCAAGGUCCUCCAUCGUGAAAUUCUCCGGAGUAGGGUGGAACAGACUUCCAUAAAGCAAACUCCAGUCUCCCCAGCCUUCUGUGAAAACAUUUGUACCCAAAGACGAGUCCCUUCCAGCUCUCGGAUGCGGUAAUAGAAUCAUUUUUCUCUAAAUGAAGUGCUUUGUGAACCAGCUUGCCUAUACCUUCGGAAACUUCAAGUGCAUAAUUUGACCUCAGUUCAUCCUUUUGCCCCAUAGGCUUGGUUGAAAGGUCAGUAUCCCCGCUGAUUGUCCUCACAAGGAAGAAGCCUUCCAGUCAUUGUGAUGUCCCUGAAGACGGUAGCACAGCCAUGGAUCAAGUUAUCAGGAGUUAUUAAAAUUCCUACUUGCACAGAGUUGGAUUUCCUUUCAGUGUAGCCUGUUUUAUUUUUCUGGCCCUUGUGCUGUGCUCGCUCACACAGCUUAGUUGUAUAAAGGCUUCCGUGACGUCAGGAGUGCAUCCAGCACUACAGAUGACCACUGGAGGCGGACGAUGGUUCCUGACCCCAGACCCAGCUCUGCUUCCCGGAACUCUGCUUAUAGAUGAGGAAGAGGCCUCAGCCCCAGGGACUGCAGAGCCAGCCACCAGUGGCUCCAACAGCUGGACAUCACCCUCCUGCUCUUUGCCCACCCCCCGCCCUUGUUCAAGCCCUCUUGUGCUUUCUUCCCAUCUUUCCCUUUUCCCUGUUUCCCGUCUCUUCCUUUUCUCCCUAUUCAGAUGGAGUGGUACUCAGUUAAGCAGAGGCCGUAGCUGUGUUUCCUCUCGCGUCCUGGCGUCCGUGUGGUCGUUUUCAUUUUCUCCUUCUCUUUGCCAGCAGGGCUUGUCUCCACUUCACCGUCCUUGGCCACCUACCCAGCGGCCUGUCCUUUGUGCCACCUGGCGGCACCAGCGCUGUCUCUGAAGUCAUGGUUGCAGGACUUUCCUCAUAGAGGACAUAUCUCACCUGAGAACACAGGCUUCUUACAUGUCCCGAUUACCAUUCUCUUCCUCUCUAAUUUUUGGAUGGAACUUGACGGCCCAGACUGCAAUGCACAGCCUCUCCUGAAGCUAGAAGUUGCCUUGGAACAAAGGAUGUUACUGAAACUGUUGUGCAGUGUACAGAAAGUGUCCUUAAAUGGGGGUCGUGGAUGCCUUCUUUGUUCCUUUCCAGUUUCUGUUGAUUAGAAUGGAGAUGUGCUGCGUGGAGCUUGAGUCCCCAGCUUGGAUCAUGAGAGCCCAGGCUGCACACAUGCGAGGGGUGUAGCAAGACACGGUCUGAACCUCCCUCCAGACCUGCCCAGUUCUGUUACCCGAGGGAGAAACUAAACUUCUAUCACAUUUGACCACUAUUAUUUUUUAAAGAUACAUAUCCAGAGGUACAUUCUAACAUACGGAAUUUAUAAAUUCAUAUUGCACAUGUCACAUUUAUCUGUACACAGCAGAGGACGGGCCUUGCCAAGAGAACAAGUAGAAAGAAUCUUCCAGAAGUACUGCUGUGUGUCUCAGCGUGUCGUCUCACGAGGCACAUAUGGAGGCCACUGUCCCAUUCCUGGGGAUGUUGAUGCUGAUUGUGGGUUGGAAUGGUGUCUGCUCUGAAAAGUUACUCUCUUUGUAAAAUUAAUAAGCACCUUUGAAGAAGGGCCCUUGGACCCAAUUCCAGUGUGUCUGUGUGACAUACUGUACACCAACAGGCAAUUCUUAGACACCAGUGGGGUGUGCAGGAACUCAACUCCACUCUGACACUUUGGAAAUAGAGUCAGGCUCAUCCCACAAGACGGGCCUCUGCUUCAGAUGCCAGUCACAAGCCCAGGUUGUUUUCACCUGUGCUUCUGACCAACUGAUCACAAAUCAGAGGCUCCCACACCCCCUCCUUGGGUUUCAUUAAGUUUUUAGAAUGGCUCACAGAACUCAGGAAAACUUGUUUGCUCACCAGACUACAAAAAGGGUAUUAAAGGAUAUGAACCAGCCACGAGAUGAGAUACACAGCAUGAGGUAUGGGAAGGGGUCCCUCCAUUCUCACACAUCUCGUGUUCACCAGCCCAGAAGCUCCCCAAACCCUCUCCUGCGGGGUUUUUUUGGAAGCUUCCUUAGACAUGAUUGAUUAAAUCAUUGGCCAUUGGUGAUUCAUUCCACCUGCAGCCCCCUACCACUGAGACAGGGGUGAUACUGAAGUUCUAACCCUCUAAUAUCAUGGCUGGUUUUCCUGGCAACUGAUGCCCACUCUUGGGUGGGAUCCAAAAGUCACUUUCCCCAGAGUGUUUUCAGGAGCUGAGGAAAGACCAAACAUCAUCCCACUGCUCUUAUAGCUCAAGAAAUCCCAAACAUUUGGGGAGUGGGGAGCCGGAACUGUAGAUGAAGUCCAAAUAUAUGAGAAAUAAAUAUUUUAGUGAUCUGAAAGAUCAAAUACUUAUCUCUUUUAAAUCGUGAUGUCACAAUCUUGUGGAAAGACACUUUGAGACUGUGUAGUUGUUGUUUACUCACUAAGUCAGGUCCGACUCUGUGACCCCAUGGACUGUAGCUUGCCAAGCUCCUGUCUGUGGAAUUCUCCAGACUAGAAUACUGGAGUGGGUUUCCAUUCCCUUCACCAGGGGACCUUCCUGGCCCAGGGUUAAAUCUGUGUCUCCUGCCCUGCAGGUGGAUUCCUUGACAUUGAGCCACCUGGGAAACCCGAAAUUGGGUAGAUAUCCCGCUAAUUCUUCAACUUUCACCCACUAACUUGAGCUUCCAAGCUUCCAUUCCUUGCAUGAAGAAAAUAUUACUUUAAUGGCUGCCCAAUAGUGAUAUGAUAACACUUUUUCUCUCAUAUUCUUUCCCAAAGAGGAUUGAAAUUAUUUAUUUUAAGUUUUUAGUUUAUUUAACAUGGGUUCGAUUCCUGGGUCACGAGGAUCCUCUGAAGAAGGCAUGGCAACCUACUCCAGUAUUCUUGUCUGGAGAAUCCCAUGGACAGAGGAACAUGGAGGGCUAUAGUCCACGGGGUCGCAAAGAGCUGGACACGACUGAAACGACUUAGCAGGAGCUGCUUUACCGGCAUGUGAGGGUUGAGAGCAAGAACCCAGGUCACUGUCACAGUCGACACUAAAUAAAAAUAACUGCUGCUGCUGCUGCUGCUGCUAAGUCACUUCAGUCGUGUCCGACUCUGUGCGACCCCAUGGACGGCAGCCCACCAGGCUGUCCCGUCCCUGGGAUUCUCCAGGCAAGAACACUGCAGUGGGUUGCCAUUUCCUUCUCCAAUGCAUGAAAGUGAAAAGUGAAAGUGAAGUCGCUCAGUCGUGUCUGAUUCUUAGCGACCCCAUGGACUGCAGCCUACCAGGCUCCUCUGUCCAUGGCAUUUUCCCGGCAAGAGUACUGGAAUGGGGUGCCAUUGCCUUCUCCGAAAAAAAAUAACUUACUAUUAAGAAAUCUCUGGGGGCCCAGAGCAUGUGUGUGGCGCCAUGCCGGGCCAUGGAUUCAAAAGUAAACGAGACGCACCCGGAUCCUCAGGGAGUUGGGGCAGAAACGUGAGCCUGUAUUUUCUGCAGCGCAGCGAGGGCCGUUGCAGCUGUAGAAGUAGGUACCUUGUGUGGCAGGGCUGGGUUCCUCCUGAGGAUCUUGGAGUGGAAUGAGAGCACUUGAUUUGCUGUCAUAAAGCCACAUGCACACACUGAUUUUUC
This is a long non-coding RNA of Bos taurus (domestic cattle), 17993 nucleotides long. The record is from Ensembl. Lineage: Eukaryota; Metazoa; Chordata; Mammalia; Artiodactyla; Bovidae.